UCGAGCGCCCCGCAAGGGGAGCGGCAGACGGGUGAGUAACGCGUGGGAAUCUACCGUGCCCUACGGAAUAGCUCCGGGAAACUGGAAUUAAUACCGUAUACGCCCUACGGGGGAAAGAUUUAUCGAGGUAUGAUGAGCCCGCGUUGGAUUAGCUAGUUGGUGGGGUAAAGGCCUACCAAGGCGACGAUCCAUAGCUGGUCUGAGAGGAUGAUCAGCCACAUUGGGACUGAGACACGGCCCAA
RNAcentral lists this ribosomal RNA (242 nucleotides) under uncultured Hyphomicrobiales bacterium. RNAcentral describes it as "uncultured Rhizobiales bacterium partial 16S ribosomal RNA". It matches the Rfam family "Bacterial small subunit ribosomal RNA", at positions 62 to 334 of the family's 1533-position model. Lineage: Bacteria; Pseudomonadati; Pseudomonadota; Alphaproteobacteria; Hyphomicrobiales. The record is from RNAcentral.